GUGUUGGGGGGUUCCACCCUCAGUGCUGACGUUAACACAUUAAGCACUCCGCCUGGGGAGUACGGCCGCAAGGCUGAAACUCAAAGGAAUUGACGGGGGCCCGCACAAGCAGUGGAGCAUGUGGUUUAAUUCGAAGCAACGCGAAGAACCUUACCAGGUCUUGACAUCCUCUGACCACUCUAGAGAUAGAGCUUUCCCCUUCGGGGGACAGAGUGACAGGUGGUGCAUGGUUGUCGUCAGCUCGUGUCGUGAGAUGUUGGGUUAAGUCCCGCAACGAGCGCAACCCUUGACCUUAGUUGCCAGCAUUCAGUUGGGCACUCUAAGGUGACUGCCGGUGACAAACCGGAGGAAGGUGGGGAUGACGUCAAAUCAUCAUGCCCCUUAUGACCUGGGCUACACACGUGCUACAAUGGGUGGUACAAAGGGUUGCAAAGCCGCGAGGCCGAGCCAAUCCCAAAAAGCCACUCUCAGUUCGGAUUGUAGGCUGCAACUCGCCUACAUGAAGCCGGAAUUGCUAGUAAUCGCGGAUCAGCAUGCCGCGGUGAAUACGUUCCCGGGCCUUGUACACACCGCCCGUCACACCACGAGAGUUUGUAACACCCGAAGCCGGUGGGGUAACCUUUUGGAGCCAGCCGUCGAAGGUGGGACAGAUGAUUGGGGUGAAGUCUCA
Molecule: ribosomal RNA, 670 nt
Filed under: Bacillus sp. SoB14
Lineage: Bacteria; Bacillati; Bacillota; Bacilli; Caryophanales; Bacillaceae
Description: bacterial SSU rRNA
Rfam family: Bacterial small subunit ribosomal RNA
Source: RNAcentral